Physella acuta is the source of this 6321-nucleotide RNA transcript. It is a transcript of the gene named ribosomal protein S6 kinase beta-2, with no coding region annotated. Lineage: Eukaryota; Metazoa; Mollusca; Gastropoda; Physidae. The record is from RefSeq and is a predicted model, not a curated record.
UGACCUUACGUCACAAGGAAUCCCUCAAAUUGCGUGAGGGGAAAUCGGCACCUAGAGCCUUACUUGAUCCUCAACCUUAAUUCCAAUGUUGUAUGAUUCCACGAAGAUUCCCUGGUGUGAAAAAUGGCUGGUGUAUUUGACUUAGAACUCACCGAAGAAGGUGGACGAUCAGAGGAAUUGUCCGAUGAUGAAUAUUUUGAGACCGAUGAAUCUAGUGGGCGCCAACAGGAAUAUGGAGGUGAUGGCUUGCCAAAUGAGGAGAUCAUGGAGACUCUGGAGCUGUCAGCCCAGACAGUGAAUCCCAGCAUAGUUCGGAAGAUUGGAAGAGAAAGCUUUGAAAUAGUUAGUUUGCUCGGGAAAGGCGGCUAUGGCAAGGUGUUGUUGGCCGAGAUGCUGGAUGAGAAUAGGAAAAAGUAUGACCCCCCACGACUUUAUGCUAUGAAAGUCUUGAAAAAGGCCAGUAUAGCAAGAAACCAGAAAGACACCGCCCACACACGUGCUGAACGUAACAUCCUUGAGGCAGUAAAGCAUCCAUUCAUUGUAGAUCUGCACUAUGCUUUCCAAACAGACGGAAAACUGUACUUGAUAUUAGAAUAUCUUCCAGGGGGGGAACUGUUUACCCAUUUAGAAAGAGAGGGUAUUUUCAUGGAGGACAUGGCCAGUUUCUACCUAGGUGAAAUUCUGUUGGCUAUUGAACAUCUACACACACUUGGUGUUAUAUAUAGAGAUCUGAAACCAGAGAAUGUCUUGCUUGAUUCUAAAGGCCAUAUUAAGUUAACAGAUUUUGGGCUAUGUAAAGAAAGUAUUUCUCUUGGUGAUAUAACACACACAUUCUGUGGAACUAUUGAAUACAUGGCUCCUGAAAUAGUUCAAAGGUCAGGUCAUGGAAAGGCAGUUGAUUGGUGGAGUUUAGGUGCUUUAAUGUAUGAUAUGCUUACUGGGCAGCCUCCAUUUUCUGGUGAAAAUAGAAAGAAAACUAUUGAUAAGAUUUUAAGAGCAAAGCUUAGUCUUCCACCUUACCUAACUAAUGAAGCUCGUGGCCUUUUGAAGAAGUUGCUGAAGAAGAAUCCAUCUGAGCGCUUAGGCAGUGGACCUGAUGAUGCUGGACCCAUUAAGAGCCAUGCCUUCUUCAGACAUACUAAUUGGAAUGAUCUACUUCAUAAAAGAAUAGAACCACCAAUUAAAAUAGGAGUGACAAGUGCAUACGAUGUUAGCCUUUUUGACACCAAGUUCACCAAGCAGACUCCCUGUGAUUCUCCUGUAGACAUGUCAGUCUUCAGUCCCAGCAUCAAUAUCUUUGAGGGAUUUACAUAUGUAGCGCCAUCUGUCCUAGCUGACUUGGCCACACAGCCUUGGAUCUCUGAAAGAGGACCAAGGUCUCCACGCAAAAGUUAUAAAGGGGAAAGCUACAUGUUAAACAAUGGCCUAGAAGGAUUUUAUCAAGCUAACGCUGCAGCUGCCCACGACAUCGCAGCCCAGAGAAACCGAGGACCUCAGCAGUGCCACGCACCCACCACAGUAGUUGCUUCAUCCCGCCCACUCAACGGAUAUGACAUGGAAGAAAUGGACACGAGCGGAGCGGCCGGUGGAGCCCCGCCCGCCACAUCGGCGAUCCCAACACACCAUCACAGGUCUAACGCUACUACUUCUGCUAUUUUACCCAUCGCCAACCCCCAAAGACAACAGCAAAGGCGCCGAGCCUACCCGGGUACACAUAACCGCCCCUCACACCUUCAACGGCUUGUAUGAUAACGUAGCUUUAGGAAAUCAAAUUUUUUUUUCAGUUUUAGUCAUUUUCUUUUUGUAACUCAUUUAUUUUAAAAACUAGUAAACAGAUUUAUUGCUUGGAAUAUUUUUGUUUUACCAAGCUAAACCGGUGUCUGAGUUAUGCAAUUCUACAACACUCAGACCUUCUGUGGAAUAGAUACCAUUGUGCAUUAAUUAUCAUCUGGUUUUUUUUAUACACUGGUUAUGUCUGAUUUGCCGAGUCAGCUCAUAGAUUAGAAACUUGGGACUGGGUGUCUUAUUGCCUAACACUUCUUGCCACGACACAUUUCUCAACACAUUGGAUGGCGUGUUUUUUUUUUUCUCCUCUUGAUAGCAUUUGAAUGGCAGCGCGUUAGGGUUAGCUAGGUUUUGUGAUACUCUAAGUUAACAUUCCACAAACAUCGGGUGUGAUUAUUUGUAUGUACAGAGGUCAGUAAUCAUUAGCUGCCCUGGAUAAAGAAUAAACAGUUUAGUUAUAAGACAUAAAUUUGAUUCUAUGCUAUAAGGGCUAGUUAAAGUGUUAUUGGGUUACCCUUGUAAUUGGGAGAGGGGGUAAAUUCAAUGGUUAAGAGAGGGGUAAGAAUUAUUUUGAAAAAUUUUUUAAUCAAAAGUUGAGUUUGGUUUUGAGCAUGACAUCAGUUUUCUUCUCAGCCUGAUUGGGCUAAAUAAAAUGAUCAUAGACAAAAUUGUAUAAUAGCCUAUGGCUGUAAUUUAACUGAGCUAUAAAUAUGGAGCUCUUACACUGUUGUGUACCCAGCCUCUCACUGGUGGCAUUGGUAACACGUCUCAACCGGUGGUUCUGCUUACCUUCAUCUCAACCGGUGGUUAUGUAGGCAAACAUAAAAUCUUUGUUUCAAAAGCUCAUCUAUUUAAGAACUUAAAACAAUGAACUAAUGGCACAUUACAGUAUAGUAGUGAACUAGCUUUCUUCUGUCUGGUUAGGUGGAAGCUUAUCUCUAAUACUCUGAUACUGGCAUUUGAUUGUGUGCAUAAGAUGUGUUGUAGUGUGGGCUUGUGUUGAUGGCAUGUCUGUGUUGAUAUCAAUCGUUCAAGCAUGUUGAUAAAGAAUUUUUUAAUCAGAAGAAAAAAAUUUUGGUUGGAAUAUAUUUUUCUCCUUGAUUUAAAAAACUAGAUUUUUAUCGUCAUUGCACAUUGCUUUAAUUACUGUCCUCAUAAUAUUAUGCUGUGAGCAUAAUAAUUAUAUUAUAAUUUACAAUAAAUACAUUUAUAUUUUAACAUACCUAAAUUAUUUGUAUCAAGUAUGAAAUCAAUUACGGUUGCCUUUUUCUCCAAAUAAUUGAUGAUUCAUGUUUUCCUUAAUCUUUUUUGUACUAUUCAUGGCCAAAUCAACACAAGUAAUUACCUGUUGUUUCAUUUACAUAUCUGAUUAACAUUAAAAACUUAAGUUUAAUAGAUUACUGUCGUUAAAGAAAUAUCUUCCAAGUUAAACUUCUGCUCCUGCACUUAACAAGAAUAUAAUUCCAUUUAUUUAUAAUUUUUAUUUGUGCUUACUUAAUAAAUUACACUCAGCUCUUAUGCUUGUAAAUACAUUCUUUAAAAAAUCCCCCUGUACCCCCCACCCCCCAAAUUUCUUUCAUAACAGACGUUCCUGUACCAUUAGCUAAUGUGAUGGAACAAUUGUAAUAUACAUUCUCUUGAAGAUAAACAUCAACCACUCGCUAUCUACCAGAGGAAUUAAAGUCUUUUCAAAUAAAUGUUCAAUAUUCCAUAUUUAUGCUGAAUGUGUGUAUUGAGAGAGGAAGGGUAACUCCUGCAUCAAUUUAUUAUAGAAGUUUGCAUUUUUUUUUUGUCUUAAUUUUUUUUUUUUUUUUUUCAUUUGAGAAUUUUUACAUGUUAAAAAUAAUGUCUCAUACAUGUUAAUUUUUUAACCUCAUAAAAAUAGCAAUACUUUUUGUUAACAAAACAUUUUUAAAAAUUUAAUGCAUAAUUAUUGUAAUAAAAUGUAUAACAGAUUAAAUUAUUAAAAUAAUGCUUCUAAAAUUUACUUUACUACUUUUAUUCAAAUCAAAAUGGUUCAGGUCACAUCACAAGUAUGUCUGUCUUUCUAAAUUUAAAGUCAGAAAAUGGAACCAAGAAAAAACCAAAUAUGCUUUAACUCCAGGGCAAGGAGUUUUAUUUUAACCAUACAAUGUUUGUAAUUAACUUAUAAAACUAAUUGUUUGCUAAUAAACUAUUCUCUUUGUUGAAUCUAGCUUUAUUAAUUUAAAAUUAAAAUAAGGAAAGUAUAAUUGCAAUUUGACAAGAGUCGACAAAUUUUCUAAUAGAUCAAAUGUUCGAUAAAGUUUAUUAUAAUUAUAUACAGUUUUUUAAAACUUUAUUUUGGUUGUUUUUACCAAGUUUUCUUCCUUCAGCUAGAGAUUUAAAAAAAACUUUUGUUGUUCAUGUUUAUAUAUUGACUUCAGGCUUUAAAUAUCUGUAAUUCUGUACAAUUUUAUCAAGACAGUUUACUUGACGUUGAUAGGCUAAGUAAAUUUAAAAUUCUGUAAUUAAUAGUGAUUGGUGUAAAAGCACUUUGUCUUUAUGAUUAAAUUUGAACUUGAUUGUAACAUUAAUCUGCCUUGAAAUGAAACUUACUUGAUAUCUUUUGAUGGUGAUAUUGGUGAAAUAUUUUUCUCCAUGAUGUCAAUACUGCUUUUUAUUUUUAUUUGAAUUUUAGAAAUGCUUUAUCUCACAGUAAGUAACAUAAUUUCCUAACAAAUCCAGGCUGUUUCUUCAAACACACUUUCUGAUUUUAGUUCUCAUAAAUUAAUUCAAAAUUAACAAAAACAAACUGCAUUUGUAUACAAAAAAUCUCAACAUACAUUCUUAUUUAAAUGUUACUCUACUUAAAUAAAAUACAAAUUUAAAAUUAUUAUGGCAAUUAUAUUUGUUUCAGAGUGAGCAAAAUUUGUUUUUAUUUUUUGGGGUAGUUUAUUCUUUCAAUAGGGUAAUGACUUUUGAAUAUCAUGAAUAAAGCAAUUGUGUAUUCAUCCUUUUCCAAGUAUUUUUAGUUCAUUUUUUCCUCUUAAUCACUGAGUAUGUAAUAAAUUUCUUUUAUAUUACAAUCACUAGCAACUAUGAUUGCCUCUAGAAUCUAUAUGUGAUUAAGAUUAAUCGUUUCACAAUUUCAAAUUAAGGUGAAUUAUUUAACAAUUUAAAAAAAAAAUGAUACUAGCUGAUCAAAAUAGUUGAUUAUGUGCACAGUGAAAAAAGGUUGAAAUAUAUUUCCAACAACCAACCUAGUCAUGAUUACUAAAUAGUCAUAUUUCUGUGAUCCUAAAUGCAACAUUUUUUGUUUCGGUAAUGACGGUAGGCCUACCUGUUUUGUAAUAACCCAUACAUUCUUAAAAUAUAUGUUUCAUUUUAAAAUGCUAUAAUUUGUCAUUCAAUAUUCAUUUAUGGAUUUUCUAAAUGUACAAUAGUUUAGUAUAUAAACUGCAUUGUCUAUUUCAAUCGAAACUAUGCAGUUUUGAUAAAUACUUAUUUUCCUUUCUAGUAAAAUUAUUUCUUAUUUAAAUGUUAUUAUAUUUUUUAUUUUUAUUCCUUUUUUUAAAUUUCAUAUUUUUCAUUAUUAUUAAGAUUGUAGAAAUUUGUUUUAGAAACAUCCUGUUAUUGUUUUGUGAAAGAACAUUUAAUUCUAAAUAUCCAUCAAACUCUGGAUUAGCUAUGACUGAAUCAAGUAUCAAAUUAUCAAUGCCUCUAACCAAUUGAAUCGUAGUGAUCAUUUUUAUGACAGCCCAUGAAGGAAAUAUUAGACCGUUUUAAAAGAGUGGAAUCUAAUUUUUACUGACAAAAGUAUGUAACAGUUAAAAAUUAGUGAUUUACUUUAAGAUUAUUACAUUUUGCUUAAAUGUAUGCUAUGUAAGAUGACAGUGAAAAAAAUAUUUUAACUUUAAAAUUAUUAUGUUUUGCUUAAAUGGACGCUAUAUGUGUGUUGACAUAAUGAUGAUGAUAGUGGUUAACUUUAAGAUUAUUACAUUUUGCUCACAUGCACGAUCUAUGUGUGUUGACAUAAUGAUAAAAUAUUAUUUAGUGAUUAAUUUUAAGAUUAUUACAUUUUGCUUACAAGCAUGCUAUAUAUGAUGACUGAAGAAUGCAAAGUAUUUGUUAAUAAUUUUUUUGUAUGCUCCACUAUAAUAUUUUUACUGCGUCUAAUUUGAGGUAUUAUGCUUUACUAGAAAAAUUCUGAAUCAGUUUUUCAUUCCCUAGGUUUACUUGAACAUAUGUAGGAGGGAAAUUAAAUAUUGGUCAUCUACGACAAGUAGUCAAUUAUUUACUCCAUCUAUGGAUAAUUACUGCAUAAACAUAUCAGCAUUUCCGGGGACAUACAAGUUUGUGAUGUUUCAAGGUGUAUGGGUCUUCAAAGAUUUCUCCUUUAUAAACAAUCAACGCUGAUUUUUGUUUUUAAAUGAAUAUCACACCCAAUUCUUGUUUUUGGUAUGACAUAAUACUUUAAAAGCAAGAUUUGUACAAUUCAUAUUGGUUCUUUGUUUUAAAGUAUGCUGAUUUCAUAAUGAGAUGUCUUUGUCAAGUGGAAUAAAUAUGAUCAGUUCC